CACAUGCAAGUCGAACGAGAAUCUGUGGAACGAGGAUUCGUCCAAGAGAAGCAGAGGACAGUGGCGGACGGGUGAGUAACGCGUGAGGAACCUGCCUUUCAGAGGGGGACAACAGUUGGAAACGACUGCUAAUACCGCAUGACACAUAGGGGUCGCAUGGCACCUAUGUCAAAGAUUUAUCGCUGAAAGAUGGCCUCGCGUCCGAUUAGCUAGUUGGUGAGGUAACGGCCCACCAAGGCGACGAUCAGUAGCCGGACUGAGAGGUUGAACGGCCACAUUGGGACUGAGAUACGGCCCAGACUCCUACGGGAGGCAGCAGUGGGGAAUAUUGGGCAAUGGGCGCAAGCCUGACCCAGCAACGCCGCGUGAAGGAAGAAGGCUUUCGGGUUGUAAACUUCUUUUGUCAGGGACGAGUAGAAGACGGUACCUGACGAAUAAGCCACGGCUAACUACGAGCCAGCAGCCGCGGUAAUACGUAGGUGGCAAGCGUUGUCCGGAUCUACUGGGUGUAAAGGGCGUGUAGCCGGGAGGGAAAGUCAGAUGUGAAAUCCACGGGCUCAACUCGUGAACUGCAUUUGAAACUACUCUUCUUGAGUAUCGGAGAGGCAAUCGGAAUUCCUAGUGUAGCGGUGAAAUGCGUAGAUAUUAGGAGGAACACCAGUGGUGAAGGCGGAUUGCUGGACGACAACUGACGGUGAGGCGCGAAAGCGUGGGGAGCAAACAGGAUUAGAUACCCUGGUAGUCCACGCUGUAAACGAUGAAUACUAGGUGUGCGGGGACUGACCCCCUGCGUGCCGCAGCUAA
This 804-nucleotide ribosomal RNA is filed under the name uncultured Bacillota bacterium. RNAcentral describes it as "bacterial SSU rRNA". It matches the Rfam family "Bacterial small subunit ribosomal RNA", at positions 52 to 855 of the family's 1533-position model. The record is from RNAcentral. Lineage: Bacteria; Bacillati; Bacillota.